This 387-nucleotide ribosomal RNA is filed under the name Triticum aestivum (bread wheat). RNAcentral describes it as "partial small subunit ribosomal RNA". Lineage: Eukaryota; Viridiplantae; Streptophyta; Magnoliopsida; Poales; Poaceae. The record is from RNAcentral.
AUGAACGGGCUCAUAGUAGGUGGUAACUGGAGGAUUCAGUACUGUGCGGAUGCCCUGACAGCAGAGGCGGUAGCACUCAGAUUUGGUUUACUGUUGGCACAAAAGACGGGCUGCAAUCGUCUAAUUAUCAGUUCUGAUAAUAUAGAGGUCAUCGACACAAUGAAGAACGGAGGACAGUCCGCGGGACCGGCUGCUUUUUGAGGAUUGCUUUUUAUGGCCUGUGAUUUUCCUCAAACCAGUUUUGAACAUUGUAACAGGAAAGUGAAUAAAGUAGCUCAUGAGCUUGUUAGAUUAGCAAAAAGUUCCAUGACUAAGGAUUGGAUAGAGGAGCCCAUGGAAGAUAUUGUAACUCUCUUGAUAGACGAUGUAACAAUUAUUUUUAAUUAA